CUCAAUCCAUCGAUCACCCCCUUCUCUUCUCAUAUGUUCUCUCAAAUUACCAAAUUCACACAUAAGGAAUACACUCCCACCGGGGCGCACACUUCAACCCUACACCCCCACCGUCCAUCGCCGGCGACGACAUCAACCUUCUACACCACCACCGCGACCAUCCAUAACCACGAUCGAAAUCGGGAUUUAGCAUUGCAUUUAUAUUUGUUUUCAGAUUUAAUUGGGGGUGUAAUCAAAUCGGUUUGGGUUUUUCUCGAAAGUCUCGGUGCUAAACUUCCAGCAUCUGCUUACAAAUCUUGAUUCACAAUCCAAGUCUUAUGUGGUGGAACCGUGGAAGAGAGUGAUGAAGUCAUGAAGAUGUAGAAGAACCUCAAGUAGUAGAAGAGGAGGAGAUAGUGGAAUCCGACAUUGAAUUUGAAGGGGAAACUGUUGAGCCUGAUAAUGAUCCUCCACAAAAGAUGGGAGAUUCAUACAAGUUUCUGAAGAAAACCGUGAUGCUGCUCAAGAAGGAAAGGCUUCCCUACAUAAACUUUUUGAGCAGUUGUGUGCACCCAAAGGUGUAAAACUUGCAAAGGUUAGACUUUGUGAUUUUGUAUAAUUAUAGGUUAUUGUACUUAAAAGAUCUCUUUUUUGUCAUUAUCUUUUUACUGUCAAGUUCAAACAGGUACGCAUCUGGGACUAUUUUAAUGAUCGCAAGCAAGUGGCAUUGGCGGAAUCGAAUCAAACAUUGGAGGAGUCCAACCUGUAGAUGGAUCAAUAUGUGCGUAGUAUUUGAUGUACCCCAACUACUCUAUGGAUCAAGAGUGCUGAUAUAUGACCUAGUGCUACUGCUGGGAAUGCUAUUGUCUAGGUGCAUUGUGCCAUUGUCCGUAUCUUAAGUUUGAGUUCUGCAGUCUAUGGGUGGUUGUUUUGUUAUUUUGUUUUACCACUAUCAGACAAAGACAAAUGGGUGUCAAGAUUUUGUUAGAAGGCUUGUUUUGCUGAAAACUUCUUUUUUUUA
This is a long non-coding RNA of Erigeron canadensis, 1000 nucleotides long. RefSeq lists it as uncharacterized. The transcript is spliced from 5 exons. The record is from RefSeq and is a predicted model, not a curated record. Lineage: Eukaryota; Viridiplantae; Streptophyta; Magnoliopsida; Asterales; Asteraceae.